GACGAACGCUGGCGGCGUGCUUAACACAUGCAAGUCGAACGGAAAGGCCCUGCUUUUGUGGGGUGCUCGAGUGGCGAACGGGUGAGUAACACGUGAGUAACCUGCCCUUGACUUUGGGAUAACUUCAGGAAACUGGGGCUAAUACCGGAUAGGAGCUCCUGCUGCAUGGUGGGGGUUGGAAAGUUUCGGCGGUUGGGGAUGGACUCGCGGCUUAUCAGCUUGUUGGUGGGGUAGUGUCUUACCAAGGCUUUGACGGGUAGCCGGCCUGAGAGGGUGACCGGCCACAUGGGGACUGAGAUACGGCCCAGACUCCUACGGGAGGCAGCAGUGGGGAAUAUUGCACAAUGGGCGGAAGCCUGAUGCAGCAACGCCGCGUGCGGGAUGACGGCCUUCGGGUUGUAAACCGCUUUCGCCUGUGACGAAGCGUGAGUGACGGUAAUGGGUAAAGAAGCACCGGCUAACUACGUG
Molecule: ribosomal RNA, 468 nt
Filed under: uncultured bacterium
Lineage: Bacteria
Description: partial 16S ribosomal RNA
Rfam family: Bacterial small subunit ribosomal RNA
Source: RNAcentral